Molecule: ribosomal RNA, 503 nt
Filed under: uncultured Glomus
Lineage: Eukaryota; Fungi; Glomeromycota; Glomeromycetes; Glomerales; Glomeraceae
Description: SSU rRNA
Rfam family: Eukaryotic small subunit ribosomal RNA
Source: RNAcentral
AGCAGCCGCGGUAAUUCCAGCUCCAAUAGCGUAUAUUAAAGUUGCUGCAGUUAAAAAGCUCGUAGUUGAAUUUCGGGACCAUCAUGUCGGUCGUGCCUCGGUACGUACUGGCAUUGUUGGUUUCUCCCUUCUGACGAACCAUGAUGUCAUUUAUUUGGUGUUGUGGGAAAUCAGGACUGUUACUUUGAAAAAAUUAGAGUGUUUAAAGCAGGCUCACGCUUGAAUACAUUAGCAUGGAAUAAUGAAAUAGGACGUUUGAUUCUAUUUUGUUGGUUUCUAGGAUCGACGUAAUGAUUAAUAGGGAUAGUUGGGGGCAUUAGUAUUCAAUUGUCAGAGGUGAAAUUCUUGGAUUUAUUGAAGACUAACUACUGCGAAAGCAUUUGCCAAGGAUGUUUUCAUUAAUCAAGAACGAAAGUUAGGGGAUCGAAGGCGAUCAGAUACCGUCGUAGUCUUAACCAUAAACUAAUGCCGACUAGGGAUCGGAUGAUGUUAAUUUUUAAUGA